Long non-coding RNA from Bubalus bubalis (water buffalo), 1044 nucleotides. RefSeq lists it as uncharacterized. Lineage: Eukaryota; Metazoa; Chordata; Mammalia; Artiodactyla; Bovidae. The record is from RefSeq and is a predicted model, not a curated record. The transcript has 3 exons.
AGGGGGCUGGUCUGCCGGACCUGUGGGUGUGCACCUGGGCUUGUUAAACCCUCAGCUCAGGGCCUGGCUUUGUGGGUCCUCAUCUCAGAGACCUGGGGAACUCGGCCCUGUUCUCUGAGCUCUAAUCUCUGAGCCUUCAUCUUUCAGAAGCUGGGUCUUCAGGAUCCCGUCCCCAACUCCCACCCCGCCCCGCCCCACACAGCCAGGCACUGAGACCCAGGACGGGCCUGGGGGAGAGGGGUCAGGCGAGCAGGUUAAAGGGGCAGCAUUCCCACGGCCUGCCCGGGGCUGCGGCAUAAUUAGAGGUCUCAGGAGCAGCCUCUGCCCAGGAUACAGAUGGAGGAGGAUCCAUCCAUUCAGGCCCCAGAGGUGACGAAGAAAGGAGAGCAGAGAAGGGGAGACAGAGAGACAUGCACAGAUACAAGGAGAGGGGAGCAGGUAUGGUGAGCAGUUUCCCCGCCCGCGGAGGGCCGCCCAGGGCACCCACGGAAAAGGAUGCGCUGGAAGUUUCGCUGCAGCCACAGCUUCCAACUGCAUGGUGGCUCCCAACGGGGCCCCCUCAAGAAGCCAGCGGCCACACUGCUCUGGGGACCCCUCGGGCGUGCCAGGCCAGGCCCGAGCGCUGGGCAGCCGAGCAGUCAGCCAGGAGGCCGCGCCGCAGGGCCGUGUCGGGGCUUUCCCGCUGCCUUCCUGGCGUAAGGAAUGUUCUCUUUCCAGGACCGCUGGCCCUCUCUCCCCCGCCGAUGCUGACUUGGGUUUUCCUCACUGUUUGCAGAAGCGCCUCCACAGCCGGCGGGGCCGGUCUCCCCCUCACUGUCCCCUGGGGAGGCGUACGUCAGUAUCUCGUUCGUGAUUAAAACAAAACACUGGGCUGUCCCCCGGAGCCCUGCCUGCCUCUCAGCUGACCGGUCCGCGUUGCGGCUCUGGCCUUGUCUUCCCAGAGGCCUCUGCGCCCUCUGGGUUCUAGGAGGGCUGACCAGGGUCCGCGUCCCCCACACACAGCCUGUCCCCCUGGAAGCCAGGUUCUGUGCUUGACCUGCUAGC